Salvelinus fontinalis (brook trout) is the source of this 1091-nucleotide long non-coding RNA. RefSeq lists it as uncharacterized. The transcript is spliced from 3 exons. The record is from RefSeq and is a predicted model, not a curated record. NCBI's taxonomy places the organism in Eukaryota, Metazoa, Chordata, Actinopteri, Salmoniformes, Salmonidae.
GAGCGAGAGAGAGACAGAGAGAGAGACUCAUUGGGAUUCAGUAGAGAUAACUGACCACUGCAAUCAACAGCAAACACCUCGAGAUGACAGAGCAUACAACCAUGCCGACAACCAUCCAUGAAGAUCAGUGAACAAAGGGCUGGACAACGGGCCACACCGGAAAAACUCAUGGUUGCCAAGUAAGAGUGACACUGACUCCGAAUGGGAGCCCUAACGUGCUAACGUGUCCAUCCCCCUCUGAAGCUGGUUCAUUCAGCUGGACCCCUGCUGUCUCUGGCUCCACACCUCCCGGGCCAUCUAGAGGUAAACUGUUCAUAUUUACUCUUGAGGUGCUGUCCUGUUGCACCCUCUACAACCACUGUGAUUAUUAGUGUCUGACCCUGCUGGUCAUCUAUGAACGUUAGAAAAUCUGUUCUGUUAUAAUCUCCACCCGGCACAGCCAGAAGAGGACUGGCCACCCCUCAUAGCCUGGUUCCUCUCUAGGUUUCUUCCUAGGUUUUGGCUUUCCAGAUAGUUUUUCCUAGCCAACGUGCUUCUACACCUGCAUUGCUUGCUGUUUGGGGUUUUAGGCUGGGUUUCUGUACAGCACUUUGAGAUAUCAGCUGAUGUACGAAGGGCUAUAUAAAUUGAUUUGAUUUGAUAGAGGACUGAGGGUCUUCCAAAUAUUGAAAGUGUGUAAAUAGUUCCCCAUGUUAUUUUGUAAAUUUAUUUUUUUUUUUUUUUUUUUUUAUAUUUAUUUUUCCAUUUUUUUCCCUCCGUUUUUUGGGGGGGUGUGUUAGAGUACCAUUUUGGUAUUUUGUAUAUAGUUAAUUGUAUCAAAAUGUAUACCUUCACCAAUUUGGCCACUUGGGUACAUUUGGGCUACUUGUGUGGGACACCUGGGUGACUUCAUGAUAAAUGUCAUGUAGCACACUCAUUUUGGAACUUAUCAUUCUGAAACUUUACACAAGUACUGUUGCCCUCUUCUGUUUUUCACUGAAAUUGUACCCAUAUUCAUAUCUGAAUGUUUGUUUUUAUCUUGUUCAUUUUAAAGAUGAUGAUACAACAAUUAAAAAGAAAAAACAUAUGGUUUUUUCAUUGUAUUAUCUAAA